CGCCAGCCUUAUGCUUAGAUGUGGUUAUAGCUUUAGACAAACAUGCUAGACUUUAGUCAUUCUUAGUCGUGAGUUCAACAGAUUUGUUUUCACGUUCAUCCAACAUUUUUCUUGAUUCAUAGGCAGUCUGCUGAAAUAGUUCACCAGUCAUGCAGGUUGCGGCCAAGGACGGACGAACGAACCCAGGCUUUGAGGACGUUGACUUAGGCACUGGAUCUUCAAGCUUUGACCACACCCAAAACGGUCCGCUUGGCAACACAAACCCGGGCAACCAGACAGAGCCGACGGAAGUGAGCAAUAGCGAUGACAACUCUUCUAAUGGAGCUGCUGUGGCCGGGACGGCGGAGAAAUCUCCUCGUGGUGCUGUCAUUGUCCGAUUGGACAGGUCUAUUUCUCUGCCACAUUUAGUGGCUAUUUUGUUCGCUGUGAGUGGAGGAUUGUCCAUAUUCAUCUCCCCUGGUCCCAUCUUGCAAUACUCCGGCUCUGUGGGACUGUCACUCAUCGUCUGGUUCUCUGGUGGAAUUGUGAAUCUCUUGUCAGCGUUAUGUUACACAGAACUGGGCAUCCGUUUCCCGGAAGCAGGGGGGUCGUAUUCGUACGUUUUGCAGACAUUCGGGUCAAUGGCUGGUUUUGUUACCUUGUGGGGCUAUAUUAUUCUUCUUGUGUGCCCUGCUUGGGCGUUGUUGGCUUACGUCUCGGCCGUGUACAUCGUCCAGCCGUUCUUCUCAGGCUGCGCCCUGCCACUAGUGGGAGUGAGGCUUCUGGCUGGGGCUAUUUUCUUAUUAUGCGCCGUCCUGAACUGCAUCAACGUCAAGUACAUCUCCAAAAUUCAGAUAUGGUUCAGUGGGGCAAAAGCAACGGCUAUUGUACUUAUCAUCGUGGGAGGAAUAUACGAAAUGGCAUUGGGAAACACUGAGAACUUUAGCCAGCCUUUUGAGGGAAGUUCAACUAAGCCAGGCGAAAUAGCUUUGGCCAUGCUUUCAUCUUAUUUUGCGUAUGGAGGCUGGCAAGUGAUAGUGAAUAUGAUGGAGGAGAGCAAGCAUCCAGAGAGAGAUCUACCUCGGUCUGUGUACAUCAGCUUCACUCUGAUCAUCACCCUCUACUGUCUCACCAAUAUGGCUUACUUCUCCAUUCUAAGCCACACGGAGAUAACAAGCACCGAUGCCGUGGGUGUGCUAUUUAUCAGCCGAUUGUACAGUCCCCUUACUACGGUGAUAUCUGUUCUCGUCGCCAUAUCGUCUGCUGGGUCACUUGUGGCUGUCGUGAUGGGACACUCAAGGUUAUUAUUCGCAGCGGGUCGUGUGGGACAUAUGCCGUCGUUUGUGGGGAUGGUUCACCAGAAGUAUCGCACUCCAUCGCCAUCUAUCAUCAUUCUUAGUUUCCUGACUCUAGUUAUGCUGUUCACGGGACAAGCGCUAGUCCUGAUGGAGUAUAUAAGCCUCUUCAGCGCUCUUAUGUCUGUGGAAUUGCAAAUAAUUCUUCUGUACCUACGAUGGAAGAGAACCAAUGAGACGCCAUCAUUCCAGGUGCCUGUGAUUAUCGCCGUGCUCCUCCUGUUAUUUCACCUUGCCGUGUUGGUGUUGUCUGUAUACCAGAAGCCUCGUCAGUUGGGCAUCGCUCUGGCAAUCAUCGUUUCGGGUAUUCCUGUCUACUGGCUGGCGGUGUCAUGGAAACAAAAGCCCACAUCAUUCACAAACUUCAUUGAUACUCUCACCAGGAUCGUACGUUGUACUCUGGAUGUGAAGAAGACAGAAUAAAUAUUCGCUACUCCUUGUAUGUUGCCGUAAUUCUGUAACCGUUCGCAGACGUCAUUAUUUCAUACUUAUUUUGCACCAGCUAGGAACUAUGAAGAGUAACCUGCCCCUUACCAGUGAGAUAUUUGUAGCAAACUCCAGCCUGUUGUCACCAGUUACCCUUAGGCAUUCAAGGAGAUCAAAAGAUAAAAAUGAUGCCACAAUCAGAUAAAGGAUUCUGAAAACUUAUUUGCAGAUAUUUGAUUUAUUUAUUUGAAUGAUGUUUAACGCCGUACUCCAUAAUAUUUCACUUUAUACAAAGGCGGCCACCAUCAUGCUGAGAGGAAACCGGGCGGAGCCCCGCUGAAACCGACGAUCAUUGCUGGCAAACAUACCCAUGUAUGGCAGGAGAGGAAGCCAGCAUGAACUUGACUUAACCAGACAUCCAGCGAUCGCCUUGGUCAGAGGUUCCUGGGGCAUUCCGUCGCGCCUCGUCUAGGGUGCUAUAUACCUAUACUGUAUGAUAGCGCCGAUACUUACUGGAUACUUGGACUGGAGGACACUGCCGACUGAGCUCUUUCAUGAACAAUAAAAGUAAGCCUACAAGUACCUUGCGACAAAACGUUCAGGGCCGAUUUCCGUGGACCGAGAUCAGAGCAAAAUGGUUACUUAACGCGGUCACAUUUUUACUUACAUGUAUCUAUGUAAACAUGCCAACUUAUUUUAUUGCUUUUUGUCACCAUGCGUUCGUAUUUAAGGACAAGCGUAAUAGUGUAUUUGAACUAUUUCAAUGCAUUCUUUUAUACGUUUUUUUUUGUUUGACGAGUCCAUUGACUGAACGACGACUGAAAUGGCAGCUUUUGUUUACAAGCUCUUUAUUUUUAAUGUUACAUCACAGAGCAUCCAAAUAAAUAAAUGUGAGAUGACGGACAGUUUAAUGCAAAGAGGAAAAAACAAUCGUCCCUCGUCAGAUUCUUGACAAACCUACUAAAGUAAAGCUGUGGACGAACCAACAAACGAUGGAUUCGAGCCUGUUAUCUCACCCGCCAUACAUAGGACAGCCGUCCCAUCAUGUGACUCGGUCAGCAAAUACCUCAUACUGCCCUACAUGUAUCACUUUAACUGCAAUAAGAUAUUGGUUCUGAGACUGUGUACCAGGCGACUGGGAUGCACUUUAUAUAUAUUGUCUCCACUCCUUAUGUAGUUUAAUCAGAAACACGCUACCAACCUUUUGUAUUAGCAUGGUGGCCCCUUGACAUUGCGUUAUUAAAGUACAAUUUCUGCUAUUCUACCAAAACGGCCUUGAUUCACUUAUUUAUUCGA
Liolophura sinensis is the source of this 3056-nucleotide RNA transcript. It is a transcript of the gene named Y+L amino acid transporter 2-like, with no coding region annotated. The record is from RefSeq and is a predicted model, not a curated record. The transcript is spliced from 10 exons. NCBI's taxonomy places the organism in Eukaryota, Metazoa, Mollusca, Polyplacophora, Chitonida, Chitonidae.